GACCCGGCAGGGGCCGCCGGCGAGGCGUCAGGAAGACAGGUCCGCGGGUGCCGGCCGAACUGUCCGAAGCGCGCCGGAAACGGCACCGCAUCCAGUUCUCGGCCCAGCAGCUGCGCGAGCUGCAGACCUCCUUCACCGGCAACCCGAACCCCGACUCCAAGGCCAUCUUCGACCUGGCCAGCCGUCUCGGACUCGGCAAACAGCACGUGCAGGUCUGGUUCCAGAACAGGCGUGCCAAGGAGCGCCGCCUGAAGUCCGAGUCGCCGCAGAGCGAGUCCUGACGCUCGGCCGGCCGGCGUCCGCUCGCCUCCAGUACCUGACCGCGGCGGCCGGCCACGGACGCUCCC
Molecule: long non-coding RNA, 347 nt
Organism: Pollicipes pollicipes
Lineage: Eukaryota; Metazoa; Arthropoda; Thecostraca; Pollicipedomorpha; Pollicipedidae
Exons: 3
Source: RefSeq, a predicted model, not a curated record